CCUACGGGGGACAGCAGUGGGGAAUAUUGGGCAAUGGAGGAAACUCUGACCCAGCAACGCCGCGUGAAUGAUGAAGGUCCUCGGAUUGUAAAGCUCUUUUCUAAGGGAAGUAGAAAGUGACGGUACCUCAGGUAUAAGUCUCGUCUAACUACGUGCCAGCAGUCGCGGCAAUACGUAGGAGGCGAGCGUUAUCCGGAUUGACUGGGCGUAAAGGGUGCGUAGGUGGUUUGGCAAGUUAGUAGCGUAACUCCAAGGCUCAACCUUGGAACUACUACUAAAACUGUUAGACUUGAGUACAGGUGGGGCAGGCGGAAUUCGUAGUGUAGCGGUGGAAUGCGUAGAUAUUAGGAAGAACACCGAUGGCGAAGGCAGGUUACUAAACUGUAACUGACACUGAGGCACGAAAGCGUGGGGAGCAAACAGGAUUAGAUACCCCUGUAGUC
RNAcentral lists this ribosomal RNA (443 nucleotides) under uncultured bacterium. RNAcentral describes it as "partial 16S ribosomal RNA". It matches the Rfam family "Bacterial small subunit ribosomal RNA", at positions 338 to 795 of the family's 1533-position model. The record is from RNAcentral.